Bos taurus (domestic cattle) is the source of this 3756-nucleotide long non-coding RNA. Lineage: Eukaryota; Metazoa; Chordata; Mammalia; Artiodactyla; Bovidae. The record is from Ensembl.
UGGGGGGUGUACUCAUGAACACGCAAAGGUCUACUGGAUGCUGUGCUUCCACCGGACCACACUGUGGUAGAUGUCUUCCACUUGCCCCUCCAGACCACCUCCCCACCCUCCGGCCAUGCCCAGUGUCCUGCAAUGCUGACCUUUGUGAAUGGGCUCAUCCAAGGCUACUUUGCCCUGGCUUCUGGUCAGGUUCAGCCAAUGGAAGGCACUGGGAGCAGGAAGUUAUUGCUUCCUCGAACUUGCAGUGAGUUGUCUAAUUCUCCUAACAAAGGCUGCAGCUCUGACCAGGUGGCCGUAUUCUAACCACUUCAGCACUUGUGCCUUCAGGUCUAGGAGAGAUGAAGCCUGCUCACCCUGGGAUUCCUCACCACUUUAACCAUGUAUGGAUGUGAGAGUUGGACCAUGAAGAAAGCUGAGCUCUGAAGAACUGAUGCUUUUGAACUGUGGUGUUGGAGAAGACUCUUAAGAGUCCCUUGGACUGUAAGGGGAUCAAACCAGUCAAUCCUAAUGGAAAUCAAUCGUGAAUGUUCAUUGGAAGGACUGAUGCUGAAGCUGAAGCUCCAAUACUUUGGCCACCUGAUGGGAAGAAGUGACUCAUUGGAAAAGACCCUGACGCUGGGAAAGAUUGAAGGCAGGAGGAAAGGAGACGACAAAGGAUGAGACAGUUGGAUGGCAUCACCGACUCAACAGAAAUGAGUUUGAGCAGGUUCCAGGAGUUGGUGAUGGACAGGGAAGCCUGGUGUGCUGCAGUCCAUGGGAUUGCAAAGAGUUGGACCUGACUGAGCAACUGAAUUGACUGAUAUCUGAUGAUCCCAAACUGUUGAUUUAUUCCCUACCCUAACUGUUUUCCUCUUUGGUAAUCACAUAUUUGUUUUCUGUGUCUGUGUGGACUCAGUGAUUCUUUAGCUGCCUUGGGCCUUCAAUAUCACUUUAGCCAGAGUGUUUCCUGUUUGAUCUAUUUUUAGAAUUUGGGCUUUCAUGAAGAUUUCCUUUAAAGCAGGGGUCCCCAACCUCCAGGCCUCGGACUGCUACCUCCACUCAGAUCAGUGGCAGCUUUAGAUUAGAAAUAAAGUACACAAUAAAUGUAACAUGGUUGAAUCAUCCCCAAACCAUCCCCCCAUCCAGCCCUGGUCCAUGGAAAAAUUGUCUUUCACGAAAUCUGUCCCUGGUGCCAAAAAGGCUGGGGACCACCAUUUUAAAGCGUGAAUUCCAAGGCUUUAAAAAUGCUUGACAAAAAAGUGGGCUAGAUAACUCUAAGAUUCCUUCCAGUCUCAACAUUUUUUUUUCAGUCAUGUCAUGCAGCUUGUGGGAUCUUAGUUUUCCAACCAGGGAUUGAAUCCUUCCCUCAGUAGUGAAAGCACAGAGUUCUAACCACUGGACUGCCAGGGAAUUCCCAGUCCCAACAUUUUUGAGCAUAAAAAUCAACCUUUCCUUCCUCACCACUGUGCCACAGAGGGUCUGGUUCCAAGAAUUAAUGGAAAACUGAUGGUUAAAGGCCCAUCUCCUGCCAGGCUGUGUCAUGGCAAAUCGACCAUGACCCUGUAAAUGGCUUGCUCCCAUCCCAUCCAUCUUUGGCAUCUUCUCACUUACUUCUUGUUUACUUCUGCCAAUAUUCCUAGGCAAAGGGGGAAAAAACUGAUUUAAAACCAAUUGCAUAAAAUGCAAACCAGCCCAGCAAACGCAAAUGUGGAAAAGAUGGCAGCUUUAAAUGAACUGGCUGCCGAGGUUUGCAAAGGCAUGGUCCACAGCAGUGGAAGCUGGCACUCCCUCGGUGGUUUGUCCCAGACAUGUGGUGCUGGAGAGGAUUAUAGUGCGGUGAUUAAUAGUUUGUGUAGCAUCUGAGCCUGCUUCCUGAUUAUGGGGAAUCUGCUCUUGCGUGAGGGUCUGGCUCUGGAGCCCAAAGGGGUGAAAAAGCUCCCCUUGAACUCUGGUAGGGGGAACAAAGACACAUGAACUAAGAACAACCCAUCAGAAUCUCACUUGAUAUUUUCAAUCCAGGCUGAACGAUGUAAUGGAAAUUCCUUCUGAUGGGACUGAUGGCUAAGGCAUUCAGUGUCUGGUGGCAUUGGUAGUACCCGGGCUAGCAGCGGCCACAGUGCAAGCAGAGGGUCUAGCAUCCAGUUACCUACAGUCCGUUUUGAAAGAGGCCAGAUGUUACAGAUGAUGUGAAGGGAUGUUAGUUUUUCCAGAGUUUCUGCAUCUUGCCAGCCUGUGCCUUUUCCAACAUUCCCCUUCUUUCUGUGGUUUCUGAGUUUCCUUGACAUUCAAUCUCCUUCAAACUCUCCCAAGGGAUUCCCCUCUCAGGCUCUUCUCUCCAUCUUCUCAGCAGAUGUUUAGGCAGCUCUUGUUGCCUCUCAGAAGAGCAAGCAACACCUCUUGUGCCUUUCUCCCCACCUGCAUCUUUCUACUGCCCAUUUUAUGCCCCCAACUGUGCCCAUACAGAGCAGUGGGUACUCUUAUCUUGCAAAUGAAUCUCCCAGAGUGAGCCUUCUUGUCACACAUGUGUGUGCUGGUGGUGAAGACUGAUUCAUCUUACAUGAAGAAAAAAGGCGUGGGACCUCCCUGGUGGUCCAGUGGUUAAAAAUCUGCCUGGCAAUGUAGGGGACAUGGGUUCGAUCCCUGGUCCGGGAAGAUUCCACAUGCUGCAGGACAACAAAGCCCUCGUGCCACAACUACUGAGCCUGUGCUCUAGAGCCCAGGAGCCUCAACUACUGAAGCUCGCACACUUUUGAGCCCGUGCUCCACAACAAGAGAAGCCACUGCAAUGAGAAGCCCGAGUUCUACAACUGGAGAGUAGCCCCCGUUCACCACAAUGAGAGAAAACCCUGAUGCAGCUAUGAAGAGCCCCGUGUGCUGCAACGAAGACCCAGCACAACCACAAGUAAAUUAAAUAAAUAAACGAGAAAGUGGAAAAAAAUUUUUAAAGAAAAAAAGACCUCUGAGUGACCUGGCAAAGAUAAGCUUUCAUUCAUUUCCUUUUCACCCCCUUUCUGAACAUCGCUGCUCCAGAUCUGUAGUUUGGCUGGGAAAGCUCUGCUUGAAGCCACAAACCUCCCUGGCGCGGAUUAAGCCUUCAAAUUGGCUUACAUCCACCUUCCUCAUUUUCCUUGGACUAGCCCUGCCAGGGCACGUUCCUUUCAUGGCAAGUGGCAGGAGCCCAGGAAGUUGAGCAGAGACCCUUGAUGCCUCCUGAGGCCUCGCAGGUUCUUUACCACUAGGGCCACCUGGGAAGCUCCCAAUCAUCUAUGCUGACCAGUAACUCCACCCCAGCCCUGCCAAUACUCAAUCAGAGAGAAGCUGUGCAGUGACCUUGGACAAGGUGUUUGUUGCCUCUCGUCGGAUCUAUCAGAGUCCUCAGGCUCCUAGAACAGGAGCUGACCUGCAUCAGUUGUCACUGGAUCUCCCUCCCCUUCUGGGCUCUGGCUGACUUCAGCCCACAGCAGACACCAGCAGGAAAUGGAGGGGAGUUGGAAAGCACCAGCAGAGUGCUGACUAUUCUAACGCCCUUACCAGUGGACGAUGGCUUGGCAGCUGUAACCUGGUUCCGACACGGAAGGCCCCAGCCGCUUUUCAGCAACCCCAUCCUUCAGCUACAGGCCUCUCAGGGUUCUUUUCACCACUUCCUUUCCCGGUCCCUUCAAGCUGACAGUGCUGAUGGUGCUCCACGUUUCUAUCCUGGAGAUGCUGCAUCAUCCUUUUUGUUUUCCUUUCAUCUCCUCCAUGUGUCUAAAAUUCUUCUGUUUAUUAUGUUCUCUC